Long non-coding RNA from Mesocricetus auratus (golden hamster), 635 nucleotides. RefSeq lists it as uncharacterized. The record is from RefSeq and is a predicted model, not a curated record. Lineage: Eukaryota; Metazoa; Chordata; Mammalia; Rodentia; Cricetidae. The transcript has 3 exons.
CCACUAAUAAACCACCAGUAAUCUGCAGGUAACCACGGCAGACCAAUGGGGCUGUGCACCUGUCUGCCCAGGCCCACAAGGCCUGCCUCUCCCUCCUGAGGCCCAGCCCAGGUCUGGUCCUGUCCCCCGAGUCUAAUCUGCCCCCAACCUGCCCCUGGAGACGUCUGUCCAACAGCGGAGGGGUCUUUAAGGACCCCCUCAGUGGUUGGUGUCUUUCUGAACAUCCCCGUUCCAGCGCUCACUGUCCACGCAGAUGAUGGGACCUGAUCCCACACCCUCCAUCAGAACGUCCUAGAGUGGCUUUUAACCCAGAACUCCCAGGAAGAACUACCAAGGAGGAGAGCAAGCUUCAGGAUGAGAUCAGCGUCUGCACGCAAGUGCGGCAAAGGAGUCCCUUUGGAUGUGUAAACAACACAAGUCAGGUGUGACGGCAUAACUUUGAGCCACUCCCUACCUGCGUGGCUGAGGCAAGAGGAUCACUUGAGCUGAGACAUUUUAGGCCAACAUGGGCAACACAGUGGGACCCUGGGCCCUAAAGAAGCAAAGAAAAGAGGGACAAGUUCCCCUCCGAGAUGGCUCAGAGGUUAAGAGCACUGGCUGCUCUUCCAGAGGUCAUGAGUUCAAUUCCCAGCAUC